CUGAGUCUUAUCUCAAAACCCUUUGUGAACCUUUAUAACCUGUUGCUUCGGCGGCGCGGCCCCCGGGUCGUGCCCGCCGGUAUCAUCAGAAUCUCUGUUCGAACCCGACGAUACUUCUGAGUGUUCUAAGCGAACUGUUA
Molecule: unclassified non-coding RNA, 140 nt
Filed under: soil metagenome
Description: partial internal transcribed spacer 1
Source: RNAcentral